This 467-nucleotide ribosomal RNA is filed under the name uncultured bacterium. RNAcentral describes it as "partial 16S ribosomal RNA". It matches the Rfam family "Bacterial small subunit ribosomal RNA", at positions 29 to 507 of the family's 1533-position model. The record is from RNAcentral.
ACGAACGCUGGCGGCGUGCUUAACACAUGCAAGUCGCACGGAAAGGCCCUGCUUUUGUGGGGUGCUCGAGUGGCGAACGGGUGAGUAACACGUGAGUAACCUGCCCUUGACUUUGGGAUAACUUCAGGAAACUGGGGCUAAUACCGGAUAGGAGCUCCUGCUGCAUGGUGGGGGUUGGAAAGUUUCGGCGGUUGGGGAUGGACUCGCGGCUUAUCAGCUUGUUGGUGGGGUAGUGGCUUACCAAGGCUUUGACGGGUAGCCGGCCUGAGAGGGUGACCGGCCACAUUGGGACUGAGAUACGGCCCGGACUCCUACGGGAGGCAGCAGUGGGGAAUAUUGCACAAUGGGCGGAAGCCUGAUGCAGCAACGCAGCGUGCGGGAUGACGGACUUCGGGUUGUAAACCGCUUUCGCCUGUGACGAAGCGUGAGUGACGGUAAUGGGUAAAGAAGCACCGGCUAACUACGUG